This is a long non-coding RNA of Armigeres subalbatus, 1210 nucleotides long. RefSeq lists it as uncharacterized. The record is from RefSeq and is a predicted model, not a curated record. The transcript is spliced from 3 exons. Lineage: Eukaryota; Metazoa; Arthropoda; Insecta; Diptera; Culicidae.
UGGCAGCGCGCGGGGAUCUGUCAUUUAUUGAAAAUCGAAAAAAGUUUCAUGUUUACCAAAUCUUUGUUUAUCGGUUAUUCUUGAGUACAAGUUGUAGCAGCGAGAAAUCCAAUCAUCCGUGCAAAAGUUCUCUGAAAAGUCAAGAAAUCCUGCUGAAGAAACCAACCUUACAUUACUGAUGGUGCGGGAAGGAAGCUCAUCGACGACUAAAUUAUUAAGAUUGAUUUCAAGUGCCGUAAUAUGUUCGCGCUGCUGAAAUAUGUGAUUCCUAUCAUCAGGAAAAAAGAGCCGAGAGAACUAAACCCUCAACUGUUGCGUUUGAUUAUCAUCGAUGAAAUUUGUCUGUGCCGCAUCCAGAAUUUUAUGUCGCCCGCACAUUGAAACUACAACAGAAUGUAACGACUUUCUGUCACUGCCAACUUAUCACGACAUCGUCACUGCCCGUGCGUGCCCGACGAUUGAUCUGUUUUAUGCCGACAUCAGCUUCCGUCAAAUCGCCCUGAAGCAGCAGUAUAUUAAAAUGACAUCGUUUAAAGGAAGGAUGCAGGUUCGUAUGCAGGAGGGAAUCAAGUAUUGGUGUUCGUCGUGUCCGGCUACUCCCGAAAGGAAACAUGUCGAACUGUCGUGCUACUCGUGACAAAUGUCUGGACCAAACAAUGUUUGUGAAGUUUCAAUCAAUCAACUCUACACGGAAGAAGAGCAUCCCCUACUGGGGUACUUCCGUGCUGAUUUAGCCCGCUUGAAAAAUACUGCUUUGAUUAAGUACGACGGCAAAGGUGCUAACCGAAAAAAUAUACCAAUACUUGCACUUGAUUAACGAUCACGCAACGUUGCCGCUGAAAUAAACCGUUACAAGGAGGAAACAGGCCAGAGAUCACCACCGGUAUGCCACCGACUAAACGGGGGAUUGCGUGCGAUUAACCGAUGGAGAAAAUAAGGAGUCUGAUGGCGCUGCUUAGUGCAGGUUACGUACGUCGUCAGUUUUGGCGAACCGUUCGAUUUCAGCAAACACCUUGUUUUCGCGGUGUAAUAAAGAGAAAACAUUCGGCAGAGAUUUUCGGAGGUGGCAGCCUAAUUCCAACCACGAUUCCAGCUAUCAGAUGCUUGAUUCAGCAGAUUCCAAACAAAACAGCAAAUACCACCUGCGUGCGGAUCGCUUGCGCAAUUUAGUGCCAUUUUCUGGUCUUCGAGGCGUUAUGUACAUAAAUGA